RNAcentral lists this transfer-messenger RNA (409 nucleotides) under bacterium. Its description in RNAcentral is "JAERRU01 sp016735295 Standard tmRNA". It matches the Rfam family "transfer-messenger RNA". Rfam says of the family: Bacterial tmRNA, also known as 10Sa RNA or SsrA, is named for its dual tRNA and mRNA-like properties. Its role is to liberate the mRNA from a stalled ribosome. The record is from RNAcentral. RNAcentral also lists the same sequence under 1 other name.
GGGGGUGUGUUGGCUUCGACUAGAAAUGGUGAUUCUUAGUGUCAGCAAGUAGCGGUUGGUCGAAGGGCCGCUUUAAAAAUCGGCUAAACAUUAUCUGCAAACGAUAAUGACAACACUCUAAAUCAAUUAGCAUUAGCUGCUUAAUUUAGAGUCUCGGCCAUUAGUCAAGUACUAAUUGCUGAGCAUGAGACCGGUGAUGCCUGAUUAAUCCGAUUCUUGUGAAAAUCUUUAUCAGGCUGUUGAUUUAGUUUUGAAUUGCCAGGGCUAAGUUAGAGUAAAAACAGCAAUUAGCUAAGUUGAGCUAGCCAAAUAGUGAAAUACUUAGUGAAAUUUAAAAAUUUGGCUAAACUUGUAGAAAGCUAAGAAAUACUUUUUUAGGACCCGAGUUCAAAUCUCGGCAUCUCCACCA